GUGAACACACAAAAAAAAGGGUGACAUACACAAGAAAGAAAAAGGUUGAACACACACACCAAAAAAAGAAAGGGUGCCCGGAGAGAUUUCGCUCAAUCUCCUGCCUACGUAUCUCAUCUGGUAUGAGAAUCAGGGCGACGUAGUUCCCCUUAACAAGGGUAAAACACUCUCCUAACCAGAGACCAGGGAAACAACAAACUAAUAGGGAGACUAAGACUCGAGCCUAAAAGUUG
This 233-nucleotide long non-coding RNA is filed under the name Lathyrus oleraceus (garden pea). Its description in RNAcentral is "Pisum sativum (pea) long non-coding RNA (PSAT_LNC029958)". The record is from RNAcentral. Lineage: Eukaryota; Viridiplantae; Streptophyta; Magnoliopsida; Fabales; Fabaceae.